AAGUCGUAACAAGGUCUCCGUUGCUCACAGGCUGGGGCCCGCCAGAGGACCCAAACAAAACUCUUUGCAUUUUGAAUACAGUAUUCUGAGUGACAUGAUUAAAUAAAUCAAAACUUUCAACAACGGAUCUCUUGGCUCUG
Molecule: unclassified non-coding RNA, 140 nt
Filed under: Myxocephala albida
Lineage: Eukaryota; Fungi; Ascomycota; Sordariomycetes
Description: partial internal transcribed spacer region
Source: RNAcentral